UGAGGGGUCGUCUAACGGGUAGGACACUGGACUUUGACUCCAGGUAUUGCAGGUUCGAAUCCUGCCCCCUCAACCA
RNAcentral lists this transfer RNA (76 nucleotides) under Gammaproteobacteria bacterium. Its description in RNAcentral is "tRNA-Gln". It matches the Rfam family "tRNA". Rfam says of the family: Transfer RNA (tRNA) molecules are approximately 80 nucleotides in length. Their secondary structure includes four short double-helical elements and three loops (D, anti-codon, and T loops). Further hydrogen bonds mediate the characteristic L-shaped molecular structure. tRNAs have two regions of fundamental functional importance: the anti-codon, which is responsible for specific mRNA codon recognition, and the 3' end, to which the tRNAs corresponding amino acid is attached (by aminoacyl-tRNA synthetases). tRNAs cope with the degeneracy of the genetic code in two manners: having more than one tRNA (with a specific anti-codon) for a particular amino acid; and 'wobble' base-pairing, i.e. permitting non-standard base-pairing at the 3rd anti-codon position. The record is from RNAcentral. Lineage: Bacteria; Pseudomonadati; Pseudomonadota; Gammaproteobacteria.